Molecule: transfer RNA, 89 nt
Filed under: Devosia sp. J2-20
Lineage: Bacteria; Pseudomonadati; Pseudomonadota; Alphaproteobacteria; Hyphomicrobiales; Devosiaceae
Description: tRNA-Ser
Rfam family: tRNA
About the family: Transfer RNA (tRNA) molecules are approximately 80 nucleotides in length.
Source: RNAcentral
GGGUGGGUGGCAGAGUGGUCGAUUGCUCCGGUCUUGAAAACCGGCGGGCGUGCAAGCGUCCCGGGGUUCGAAUCCCUCCCCACCCGCCA